CGUAAGCUGAUCGAUCGCUAGCUCCGGCCAUGGACGGCGCCGUGGCGAGCUUGGAGUGCAGCCAUGGCGCGCGCCCGGCGCGGUACACGCAUGGCUGCCGCGUGGUGGUGUCCGUGACGUCACGUGCGAAGGAUAUGGCCUUAAUCCUGAAUUAGAUAGGGUGUUCUUUGAUUAAUUCGCUAAACUUCGUAAUAUUAGGUAAUCGAUUUGGCUUUCGGCCAAAUAUUGAAUUCUUUCGUUCUAUUGCUGCUCAGGUGAUCGAUGAUCAUAGUAGCUUCAUUGCGAUUUGUCAAUGAAAUGAUAUAAAUAUGUAUUAAUUACAAGUUGAAGAGUACUAAUGAAGAACAUCAGAGGCUCAGAGCAAUUGAGCGCACAUCUCGUU
This 382-nucleotide small RNA is filed under the name Oryza sativa Japonica Group (Japanese rice). Its description in RNAcentral is "Os10g0562900". The record is from RNAcentral. Lineage: Eukaryota; Viridiplantae; Streptophyta; Magnoliopsida; Poales; Poaceae.